Vicia villosa (hairy vetch) is the source of this 876-nucleotide long non-coding RNA. RefSeq lists it as uncharacterized. The transcript has 5 exons. The record is from RefSeq and is a predicted model, not a curated record. Lineage: Eukaryota; Viridiplantae; Streptophyta; Magnoliopsida; Fabales; Fabaceae.
CCUCUCUUCUUCCUAAAGCAAAACGGCGUCGGUAGCCUCAACCUUUCUCCGAUCAACAAGAUCCACAGCGCCGCCGUGAUGCCCUCAAGCGACGAACUUUGCGUGUCUCCGAUUAUCCUUCGCUUCGAAUCUACCGAAGAAAUCCGGAGCUUCUUCAAUCUCGGCAAGAGUACCGAUGACUUCGUCUGACCUUCUUCUAUUCAUUUCUCUACUUCUGAACCAUUGGCGUUACAAUAUGUUGAGGAGAUGACGUUGAAGAUAGAGUUAGAACCGCUAUGGCAGAUGAAGAUUGACGCGCGUGAAGAGCUAUUGCAGAGAGGUGAGGAUUGAUGACGACUCUCGAUUGAAGAAUGAAGAUGAUGUGUGAAGUUGUUGUAGUUAAUUCUGAAGGUUCGUGAUGGUGAGGACUGAAGAUUGUUGGUGAAUUGAAGGUGAUGAUUGUGCUCUGAGGAAGAUGAAGAUUGAUUUUCGGUCGGAGUCUGACGGUGCUUCAACGGCAACGAAAAAUGGAGAGAAAUUCAGAGAAUCUUCAGGUCCUAGUUUGGUUUUCUGUGGCAGAUUGGAAUGUUGGAUACAAGCUUACUUGUAGUAUCAAGGUUUGUGGCAUGAAUGGGGGUCUUAUAGUAGCUGCAUUUGGCUCUGUUUUGCAUUGGUGCAGGGCUGAUCUUGAAUGGAUGUACUUUUGCUUUGAAUUUGCUAGGCAGCUAGCACUGAGUAGCUAAGGGGUAUGGUGUUGUUUGGAUUUGUUGAUCUUGGUAAGGGAAUGUAGGCAUUUAUGAAGAGCUGGUGCAGGUUUUGACAUAUGGGUUGUUUGAAUAUUUGCGUGGUUAUGUAUGGAGCUGACCCACCUAUGGAUUGUGGCGGGUUCUUUUGGAA